Molecule: long non-coding RNA, 300 nt
Filed under: Struthio camelus australis
Lineage: Eukaryota; Metazoa; Chordata; Aves; Struthioniformes; Struthionidae
Description: lncRNA (ENSSCUG00000004367.1)
Source: RNAcentral
UUUUCUAAGUUUAUUUCGUUUUUAUGCUUCUGCUUUGUGUUUCCCCAGAGAACUCUGCACCCUGGGAGGAAAUUCAGAGAAGUCUUGCAGUGAGUCACACCGUGCUCAGGAGCAGGUCUUCCAGCUCAUCAGCGAGGUUCUCUGUGAAACACCCCUGUACGCUUGCCGUUAGUGUGCCGGGCACCGCACGGCUGUGAUGAAAGCUCUGCCCUCACGCUCAAAUGACAAAUUAAUCAGGAGGCUUUUGCAAGGUAUUCUACCUCUGGAAAAUUAGACUUUGAAACAUUCCCAUCCUACACU